AUUGAACGCUGGCGCAUGCCUUACACAUGCAAGUCGAACGGCAGCAUGGAAGAGCUUGCUCUUCUGAUGGCGAGUGGCGAACGGUGAGUAAAGCAUCGGAACGUACCGUGUAGUGGGGAUAACGUAGCGAAAGUUACGCUAAUACCGCAUACGCACUGAGGUGGAAAGCAGGGGAUCGCAAGACCUUGCGCUAUACGAGCGGCCGAUGUCAGAUUAGCUAGUUGGUAGGGUAAAGGCCUACCAAGGCGACGAUCUGUAGCGGGUCUGAGAGGAUGAUCCGCCACACUGGGACUGAGACACGGCCCAGACUCCUACGGGAGGCAGCAGUGGGGAAUUUUGGACAAUGGGCGAAAGCCUGAUCCAGCCAUGCCGCGUGAGUGAAGAAGGCCUUCGGGUUGUAAAGCUCUUUCGGCUGGGAAGAAAUCGCACAGGCUAAUACUCUGUGUGGAUGACGGUACCAGCACAAGAAGCACCGGCUAACUACGUG
Molecule: ribosomal RNA, 487 nt
Filed under: uncultured bacterium
Lineage: Bacteria
Description: bacterial SSU rRNA
Rfam family: Bacterial small subunit ribosomal RNA
Source: RNAcentral